GCCUGGCUGGCUCAGUUGGUAAAGCUCUUGAUUUCUUGAUCUUGGUUGUGAGUUCAAGCCUCACGCUGGGUG
RNAcentral lists this transfer RNA (72 nucleotides) under Ailuropoda melanoleuca (giant panda). It matches the Rfam family "tRNA". From Rfam's summary of the family: Transfer RNA (tRNA) molecules are approximately 80 nucleotides in length. Lineage: Eukaryota; Metazoa; Chordata; Mammalia; Carnivora; Ursidae. The record is from Rfam by way of RNAcentral.